This 62-nucleotide transfer RNA is filed under the name Rhamnusium bicolor. Its description in RNAcentral is "tRNA-OTHER". Lineage: Eukaryota; Metazoa; Arthropoda; Insecta; Coleoptera; Cerambycidae. The record is from RNAcentral.
GUGGUCGAGUGAUAAGGACACUUGACUCUCACCCUGGAGUCUCGGGUUCGAUCCCCGGCCCA